AGGCAUGAUGUGGGCAAGAACUUAAAAGACCCUUGAACCUUUCCAAGCAUUAUCAAAUGGUUUCUUCCUCGUUCUGCGAGAAGUUCCUAAUGUCCAUUCUAAGGGU
Magnolia sinica is the source of this 106-nucleotide small nucleolar RNA. The record is from RefSeq and is a predicted model, not a curated record. Lineage: Eukaryota; Viridiplantae; Streptophyta; Magnoliopsida; Magnoliales; Magnoliaceae.